UACGGGGGGGGCAAGCGUUGUUCGGAAUUACUGGGCGUAAAGGGCUCGUAGGCGGCCAACUAAGUCAUACGUGAAAUCCCUCGGCUUAACCGGGGAACUGCGUCUGAUACUGGAUGGCUUGAGUUCGGGAGAGGGAUGCGGAAUUCCAGGUGUAGCGGUGAGAUGCGUAGAUAUCUGGAGGAACACCGGUGGCGAAGGCGGCAUCCUGGACCGAUACUGACGCUGAGGAGCGAAAGCCAGGGGAGCAAACGGG
This 253-nucleotide ribosomal RNA is filed under the name uncultured bacterium. RNAcentral describes it as "partial 16S ribosomal RNA". It matches the Rfam family "Bacterial small subunit ribosomal RNA", at positions 524 to 776 of the family's 1533-position model. The record is from RNAcentral.